RNAcentral lists this long non-coding RNA (1137 nucleotides) under Meleagris gallopavo (turkey). RNAcentral's name for it is "lncRNA (ENSMGAG00000021188.1)". Lineage: Eukaryota; Metazoa; Chordata; Aves; Galliformes; Phasianidae. The record is from RNAcentral.
AUGAGGCAGCACUUCCAAAUUCUUGGAAUAAAGAACAGGGGGAAUCCAUGCCUGUCUGCGACAGAAAUGUGGCCACUUUCUCAAGAAAGGGUUAACAAGAAUGAGAGGAAAGAGCAAAGGCUGGUCCUAAUGAGACAUAAAGAACCAGUGUGGUCUAUGCAUGUGGAGAGGAGGGAUGAAUUGAUACCAAAGUAUGAAACAGAUUUGCUCCUCCUUGUAACUUCAAAAUGAAGACAUUCCUUAAGAGAUAUGCUGUUUAAUGUCUGCCAAGGAAAAAGGUUUGCUUAGCUCAUAUUUACUUAUUUUUGUAUUAAUUUGGGAAAGGACUCUUACAUCACAAAUACUCUAAACGCUAAACAGAUAAUAUCUGAGAUUCUCUUCUCCUUUGUUAUUUGGAUUUGAAAUAGUUUUGUUGUUGUUGUUUGGGUUUUUUUGGGCUGUUUUCUUUUUUCACUGUAAGAAGAAGAAGAACAGAAGUUUAUUUAUCAUUUCAGUUCUUAUCUGCACUGUUCUUCUCACGUUGUAACAUUUUGUGAGUCUAAGAGUUCUUCAGCAUCUGAUUGUGCUUUGUACCAUUAGAGAAGUUCCCAAAGAAUUCUGGACUGCAGGGGGAAAGAUGGCAUAUAGGAAGAAAUGCCAAAGCAAUAUAAUUUUCCCUGGAUUCUGAUUAAGUUGAGGCUAGGAUUCCUGAUAGUAUAUUUCCUUCUCUCAAACUCACCAUCCCCCUUCUCUUUGUUCUCUCUUUUUAACAGUGCAGCUGCCACUCUUCUUUCCCCAGUGGAAGAACAUGAAUUACCAGCUCUUUAAUGUUUUCUUGUCUGAAGAGUCCUCAGCAUGCCACUCAAUCACGAAACAGGAGGUAAGUGUAACUAAAGUACAUUCGGCAUACCUGAACAUCUCCAAAUGGGAAAACAAGACAAGAAUAAGGUCUUUCUCUAGACCAUACGUGUCCCACAUACAAAAUACAUUACAUACUUAAUAUAUGUAAGUAACAAAACAACUUUUUUUUUUUUUAAUUUUAAUUUAAACACAUAAAAAGAGGGCAGCAAAAAUUUCAAACUGACGGGAUUUAUUCCAGCAACGCUGGAAUUAAAAAAAUACGCAGCCAUUUAUUUUUAUAGUACUAGCACUGUUGUC